GAUGAACGCUGGCGGCGUGCCUAAUACAUGCAAGUCGAGCGAACAGACGAGGAGCUUGCUCCUCUGACGUUAGCGGCGGACGGGUGAGUAACACGUGGAUAACCUACCUAUAAGACUGGGAUAACUUCGGGAAACCGGAGCUAAUACCGGAUAAUAUAUUGAACCGCAUGGUUCAAUAGUUAAAGACGGUUUUGCUGUCACUUAUAGAUGGAUCCGCGCCGCAUUAGCUAGUUGGUAAGGUAACGGCUUACCAAGGCAACGAUGCGUAGCCGACCUGAGAGGGUGAUCGGCCACACUGAGACUGAGACACGGUCCAGACUCCUACGGGAGGCAGCAGUAGGGAAUCUUCCGCAAUGGGCGAAAGCCUGACGGAGCAACGCCGCGUGAGUGAUGAAGGUCUUCGGAUCGUAAAACUCUGUUAUUAGGGAAGAACAAAUGUGUAAGUAACUAUGCACGUCUUGACGGUACCUAAUCAGAAAGCCACGGCUAACUACGUG
RNAcentral lists this ribosomal RNA (497 nucleotides) under uncultured bacterium. RNAcentral's name for it is "partial 16S ribosomal RNA". It matches the Rfam family "Bacterial small subunit ribosomal RNA", at positions 28 to 507 of the family's 1533-position model. The record is from RNAcentral.